CAUGAUGAGCUUGAAUGUGAUUGCUGAAUCUGGGAAUAAUAGGAGGUCUAUAUGUCAAUGCUUAAUGGGCCUCAUCAAAUACCUACAAUGCUAACGCUACAGUCAUUGCUACUUUUCCAGGCUUUUGUGGAGUAAAUCUAGGGUUUGUUCUUGAUCCCAAUACAGAUUGCUCCUUUGUACCUCGAGUUGAGGUCAAGGAAAUUAUGACGCUUGUUCAAGGUGAUGCAGAUGGGAGACUGAAUAAGAAGCUUGUCUUCAAGUACAGUCACUGAAAAAUACAAAUAAGAGCAGGUCUGAGCUUGUGUAUUGAUGGAUUGACUAGUGAUUUUGUCCAUGGCGCUCGCUUCCUCGUUUUAAAGAUGCACUGCUAGUAAUUAUCGUUUGAACAGAUGCAUUCAUGAAUCGAGCAUAUCUUUUCACUUUAAGCUGUUUGUUUUUAAUCAUGCUUAAUCAAAGCAGAUCCAUAGUGAAGGACUCCCAAAACUAGAUAGGUUAAAAAGUUGGAUAUGUGAUCAAUUGCUACUUUUCACCGAAAGACACACAAAGUUAAUUGGCAUUUAGAAUGGAUUAGACAAGCUAAAUCACUAUUCUCUCAAGAACUAGUAAGAGCAAAUUCAAAGUUUAAUUGUUACCUUAAGAUUUAAUCUCA
Populus nigra (black poplar) is the source of this 649-nucleotide long non-coding RNA. RefSeq lists it as uncharacterized. The transcript is spliced from 2 exons. NCBI's taxonomy places the organism in Eukaryota, Viridiplantae, Streptophyta, Magnoliopsida, Malpighiales, Salicaceae. The record is from RefSeq and is a predicted model, not a curated record.